RNAcentral lists this ribosomal RNA (253 nucleotides) under uncultured bacterium. Its description in RNAcentral is "partial 16S ribosomal RNA". It matches the Rfam family "Bacterial small subunit ribosomal RNA", at positions 524 to 776 of the family's 1533-position model. The record is from RNAcentral.
UACGAAGGGUGCAAACGUUGCUCGGAAUUAUUGGGCGUAAAGCGCACGUAGGCGGCUUUGCAAGUCGGAUGUGAAAUCCCUCGGCUCAACCAAGGAAGUGCAUCCGAAACUGCAGAGCUUGAGUACCAAAGAGGAUCGCGGAAUCCCCGGUGUAGAGGUGAAAUUCGUAGAUAUCGGGAGGAACACCAGUGGCGAAGGCGGCGAUCUGGGUGGAUACUGACGCUGAGGUGCGAAAGCGUGGGGAGCGAACAGG